This 1386-nucleotide long non-coding RNA is filed under the name Monodelphis domestica (gray short-tailed opossum). RNAcentral describes it as "lncRNA (ENSMODG00000036697.1)". The record is from RNAcentral. Lineage: Eukaryota; Metazoa; Chordata; Mammalia; Didelphimorphia; Didelphidae.
AGAUGGGAUAAAUAUUUUAAUUUAUUAAUAGCAUAACAACUAAAAUCAUGAGCUCCUUAAAAACUCAGCGGUAGAGGGUAAUAGAUACCCCCAAAGUCAAGAUGAACUUGAGGCUUUUUAGCUUGGUAAUAAUUAAAAUGCAGAUAUGAUAAAUAGAUUUUCUCUAACCUGAUAAUAAUGUCCAUGGAGACAUGGUAGGAUGAGAGUAAGGAAACAGAAAAAAACAUCUUUUCUCCAUAUUUCCUUCUGUUCAAUAGAGAGGUGGCAGUCUCUAGGGACAGAACAUUGUAUUCAUUGUCAUAUGUGGCUGCUGGUUUGUUUUAGUUAGCCAUCUUUCUUUUCUUUUCUAACCCUUACUUUCUGUCUUAGAAUUGAUACUGAGUAUAGAUUCUAAGGCAGAGGGGCAGUAAGGACUAUUAAAGUUAAGUGACUCACCCAGGGUUACAUAGCUAGGAAGUGUCUGAAGUCAAAUUUGAACUCCAUAUCUCCCAUCUUCAGGUUGGGCUUCCUAUCAACUGAAUCAGCUAGCUAUCCCCAUAGCCAUCUUUCUUACAAGGAAGGGCUCUAUAGGGGUGGUGGUGAGGAAAUUGCAAAGUGAGAGAAAUAGAAUAUAACUUCUGUAAGAGAAGGUUUGAAAUCUGAGAGAGAAAUGAACUUGGAAGAACUGCAGAAUUCUACAGCAGUGGGAUGUGGGUGAAAAAGGAACACAGAACUUUGGAGAGAGAGAGAGGAGAGAAUAGUUCUGAUCCAGCAGUUGGAAACUGACUUCUGUCUGGAAAGACACACCAGAGAGUCGGCGUUGAAUGCCCAGAGACUGGCCCAGGUUACUUUCAAGGAAGCUUUCACAGAUAUGGUUUUCUUGGGAGAAGCUGCCACAAGAUGGCAGUGCCUCAGAUCACAGAGGUUCCUCCACUUUUAGAAACAAAGAGGCGGAAGUCAUGAACAGCAAAGCUGCUGGGGAGAAUCUUGGAAUCCACAGCAUUUCAGAACUUAAAGGAUCCUUUGAAAGGAAGGCCAACCAACCAACUGAUGAACAGAGUAUUGCCGGAAGAAGGGUCAGUGAUUGGAACUGCGGAAAAAGCAGAUUCCUUGCAGAAUGUAACUUUUGGGGACACCUGAAGGGAAGUAGAGAAAGCAGCUGGGUGAAACAAUGAAUAUCUCCCUUUGGGAUCCUUCCAAAGUCUUGGCAUCAGAGAUAAGUUGUCUUGUAAAUUUAAAUGUAUCAAGUACAAGUGAAUCUGCUUAGGGAAAAGAACAAUCCAAAUGAGAGGUAUGAUGAAUUGGAAAGAACAUUGCUCUGAGGCUCUGGAUUCCAGUGUUGGUCCUGACCAUAGUUCAAAGUUGCAAAAUGAAUAAAAUGGGGCCCGGAAGUGGUGGGGACGACCA